GAGCAGCAAUAGCUCAAAUUUGAAAUCUGGCGUCUUCGGCGUCCGAGUUGUAAUUUGUAGAGGAUGCUUCUGAGUAACCACCGACCUAAGUUCCUUGGAACAGGACGUCAUAGAGGGUGAGAAUCCCGUAUGCGGUCGGAAAGGUGCUCUACACGUAGCUCCUUCGACGAGUCGAGUUGUUUGGGAAUGCAGCUCUAAAUGGGAGGUAAAUUUCUUCUAAAGCUAAAUAUUGGCCAGAGACCGAUAGCGCACAAGUAGAGUGAUCGAAAGAUGAAAAGCACUUUGGAAAGAGAGUUAAAAAGCACGUGAAAUUGUUAAAAGGGAAGGGAUUGCAACCAGACUUGCUCGCGGUGUUCCGCCGGUCUUCUGACCGGUCUACUCGCCGCGUUGCAGGCCAGCAUCGUCUGGUGCCGCUGGAUAAGACUUGAGGAAUGUAGCUCCCUCGGGAGUGUUAUAGCCUCUUGUGAUGCAGCGAGCGCCGGGCGAGGUCCGCGCUUCGGCUAGGAUGCUGGCGUAAUGGUCGUAAUCCGCCCGUCUUGAAACACGGACCAAGGAGUCUAACAUCUAUGCGAGUGUUCGGGUGUCAAACCCCUACGCGUAAUGAAAGUGAACGGAGGUGAGAACCGCAAGGUGCAUCAUCGACCGAUCCUGAUGUCUUCGGAUGGAUUUGAGUAUGAGCAUAGCUGUUGGGACCCGAAAGAUGGUGAACUAUGCCUGAAUAGGGUGAAGCCAGAGGAAACUCUGGUGGAGGCUCGCAGCGGUUCUGACGUGCAAUCGAUCGUCAAAUUUGGGUAUAGGGGCGAAAGACUAAUCGAACCAUCUAGUAGCUGGUUCCUGCCGAAGUUUCCCUUCAGGAUAGCAGUAACGUUUUCAGUUUUCAUGAGGUAAAGCGAAAUGAUUAGAGGCCUUGGGGUUGAAAC
Molecule: ribosomal RNA, 920 nt
Filed under: Cladosporium sp. HU
Lineage: Eukaryota; Fungi; Ascomycota; Dothideomycetes; Cladosporiales; Cladosporiaceae
Description: eukaryotic LSU rRNA
Rfam family: Eukaryotic large subunit ribosomal RNA
Source: RNAcentral